UACACAUGAUGUCAUAACAUUGUAUUAUGACUUCCUGAAUGCUGAAGCCAGGGCCAAAAAUUAGAUUCAACACAGAUGGACAAAAUACUGUUCUAGCUAUUGUCACUCCAUUUGGAAAUUUGUGAAAGAAAAAUUCAGAAGUCAAGAGUUUGGCCUAGAACUAGCAGACAAGCUUGCAAGGAAUUUGGGUAAAAUUGAACAUGAGGAAGGGAAAUUAGGGAUUUGGACUCUAGAGAAAUUAUGGAAAUUAAAAAGAAAAAAUAAAAGAAAUAAAAAU
This 277-nucleotide long non-coding RNA is filed under the name Lathyrus oleraceus (garden pea). RNAcentral describes it as "Pisum sativum (pea) long non-coding RNA (PSAT_LNC013677)". Lineage: Eukaryota; Viridiplantae; Streptophyta; Magnoliopsida; Fabales; Fabaceae. The record is from RNAcentral.